RNAcentral lists this small RNA (110 nucleotides) under Oceanibaculum pacificum. Its description in RNAcentral is "Rhodospirillaceae bacterium MC2UP-L3 rpsB sRNA". It matches the Rfam family "rpsB sRNA". The record is from Rfam by way of RNAcentral. Lineage: Bacteria; Pseudomonadati; Pseudomonadota; Alphaproteobacteria; Rhodospirillales; Oceanibaculaceae.
CGCACGCGGGUCGCGUGGCCGGGGCCGAUAGGCCACGGUCGCUCCGGUGUCUGGUUUCACAGCCAGGCGAACUGCCCGCGGAGGAUUAACCGGAAAAUGACAGGACACUU